UGGCUCAGGACGAACGCUGGCGGCACGCUUAACACAUGCAAGUCGAACGGAGUUAAUGGAGCUUGCUUGAUUAACUAGUGGCGGACGGGUGAGUAACACGUGAGCAACCUGCCUUUAAGAGUGGAAUAGCUUCUGGAAACGGAUGGUAAUACCGCAUAACAUUGCCGGACCGCAUGAUCUGGCAAUCAAAGAUUUAUCGCUUAAAGAUGGGCUCGCGUCUGAUUAGAUAGUUGGUGGGGUAACGGCCUACCAAGUCGACGAUCAGUAGCCGGACUGAGAGGUUGAACGGCCACAUUGGGACUGAGACACGGCCCAGACUCCUACGGGAGGCAGCAGUGGGGAAUAUUGCACAAUGGGCGGAAGCCUGAUGCAGCGAUGCCGCGUGGAGGAAGAAGGUUUUCGGAUUGUAAACUCCUUUUAUCAGGGACGAUAAUGACGGUACCUGAAGAAAAAGCUCCGGCUAACUACGUGCCAGCAGCAGC
RNAcentral lists this ribosomal RNA (482 nucleotides) under uncultured bacterium. RNAcentral's name for it is "bacterial SSU rRNA". It matches the Rfam family "Bacterial small subunit ribosomal RNA", at positions 20 to 518 of the family's 1533-position model. The record is from RNAcentral.